UACAGAGGUCUCGAGCGUUAAUCGGAGUCACUGGGCUUAAAGGGUGCGUAGGCGGAUCUGUAAGUGCUUUGUGAAAUCCCAUGGCUCAACCAUGGAAUUGCUCGGCAGACUGCAGAUCUUGAGGUCGGUAGGGGCUGCUGGAACUCUAGGUGGAGCGGUGAAAUGCGUAGAUAUCUAGAGGAACGCCGAAGGUGAAGACAGGCAGCUGGGCCGAUUCUGACGCUGAGGCACGAAAGCGUGGGGAGCAAACGGG
This 253-nucleotide ribosomal RNA is filed under the name uncultured bacterium. Its description in RNAcentral is "partial 16S ribosomal RNA". It matches the Rfam family "Bacterial small subunit ribosomal RNA", at positions 524 to 776 of the family's 1533-position model. The record is from RNAcentral.